This 1077-nucleotide long non-coding RNA is filed under the name Malus domestica (apple). Its description in RNAcentral is "long non-coding RNA (MDOM_LNC010601)". Lineage: Eukaryota; Viridiplantae; Streptophyta; Magnoliopsida; Rosales; Rosaceae. The record is from RNAcentral.
UGACUUUCGGUGAAGUCUUCAUUGGGAUAACGACUAUUCAACUCAAAACAAUACGAAAACAUUAGAAUACUGCAGAUUCAUUUCAACAAUGCUCAAAUUAUGCUCUACAUACUCAGAUCAAUCUUGGUAAUAACUCAUAAAACUGCCAAACAUAAAUAAGUCAUCGACAAAAUUGCAAAAACUUCAGCAAGAACACCUCCAUGUUCAUACUCAAAACACACAUACAGAUCAACAAAAUUGCAAAAACUUCAGACAAUCAACUCGAAUCACAUCACAAAAAAAUCAAUUUGACAAAAACCCAACAUGAAAUUUGAGCCUAAACCCUAAAUAACAAAAACCCAUCGAAAAUCAGAAACCCUCACCUUGAAUUUGGGACUUGAUUCGCGUCGAUUUCGAGAUUCGCGUCGCUGCCCGUCAUUUAGAACGAGAGGGAGAGAGACAACUGAUAGAGUAGUGGUGGUGGUUGGAUUUAAGAUUGUGAAGAGGAAAGCUUGUAAACGAGAGGGAGAGAGAUGUGUAUGGGAAAGAGAGGAGAGAUGAGCAAGAGGGAAGAGAGAGGUCUAUCAAUUAUACGGGAAAGAGGGAAAGACCGAAAGAGGGCAAGAGGGAAGAGAGAGGUCUAUUAAUUAUACGGGAAAAAGGGAAAGACCGAAAGAGGGAAGUGCCAAACUUAGGAAAAAUUGAAACAAAGUGCCUAUUUUUCACUAUUGGAGCGCCAAAAUUAUCAUAUCUUGCGCGACAUUGGUAUACAAUUUGACGUCGCGCAAAGUGCUUUUGCGCGACGACCAUGUUAAGGCGUCGCGCAAGGUAUUUUUUUUUUCAAUUAUUAUAAAAAUUACUGAAAAUAUGACUUUACUCCUUUCAAAUUCAAUUUUUUUUUACAUAAACCCCAAAAUAAUAUAUUUUUCUAAUAAAAACCCACAAAUUUUUUUUUACAUAUAUAUAUCAUUCAAUUUCUUAAGUGUUAUAAGUACUAAAUAAAUAAAUUAAAAUCUACUUAGUAAAUAUAAAUACCAUUGAAUUUGAUGAGAAACGCAUUGUUAGAAAUCCACUAGUAAAUAUAUAUCUAAUUAUAUA